UACGUAGGGGGCUAGCGUUGUCCGGAAUCAUUGGGCGUAAAGAGCGCGUAGGCGGCCAGAUAAGUCCGGUGUGAAAGUCAAAGGCUCAACCUUUGAAUGCCGCUGGAAACUGUCUGGCUAGAGUCCGGGAGGGGCGAGUGGAAUUCCUGGUGUAGCGGUGAAAUGCGCAGAUAUCAGGAGGAACACCAAUGGCGAAGGCAGCACUCUGGGACGUGACUGACGCUGAGACGCGAAAGCGUGGGGAGCAAACAGG
RNAcentral lists this ribosomal RNA (253 nucleotides) under uncultured bacterium. Its description in RNAcentral is "partial 16S ribosomal RNA". It matches the Rfam family "Bacterial small subunit ribosomal RNA", at positions 524 to 776 of the family's 1533-position model. The record is from RNAcentral.